Exaiptasia diaphana is the source of this 237-nucleotide long non-coding RNA. RefSeq lists it as uncharacterized. Lineage: Eukaryota; Metazoa; Cnidaria; Anthozoa; Actiniaria; Aiptasiidae. The transcript is spliced from 3 exons. The record is from RefSeq and is a predicted model, not a curated record.
UUGUCUUCGGUUUCAGUCUUUCACUUUCAAAAGAUUGUCUGGAUGGAAUAUGUAGAUAUUGGGAGUUACUGUUCGAUAAUUUACGCUUACGUCAACGGACGCUGGUCCGGAGAAGCGUCUCGUCGUGGUAAAGAUUUCAAGUCUUUGUUUCAACUCGUCUUCAUGUGCUAAAAUAAUAUUUAAAAACUGAACUCAACAAGAAUAUUCAAGAUUUAGAGGAAAAAAGGUAACAAAUAU